UCUAUAGAAAUCAACAUCUUACGACCUAACAUUCAUACAUUCUAGAUAACAUGCCAUUCUGAUAAUUUUUGUUAGCCAUCCGGUGGUCUAUACAAUACAAUACAAACCACAGAAACUAUAAUGUAAAAUCUCAGAUAGUGACUAAGAUGAAACCUUUUACUUUUGAUAUAUAUACAACAAAAGAAACUGACUCACCCAGCAACAUUAUGUAAAGACUAAACUAUAAGCACCCUACUGAGCAUAUUUAGG
RNAcentral lists this unclassified non-coding RNA (249 nucleotides) under Hevea brasiliensis (rubber tree). Lineage: Eukaryota; Viridiplantae; Streptophyta; Magnoliopsida; Malpighiales; Euphorbiaceae. The record is from RNAcentral.